RNAcentral lists this ribosomal RNA (492 nucleotides) under uncultured bacterium. RNAcentral's name for it is "partial 16S ribosomal RNA". It matches the Rfam family "Bacterial small subunit ribosomal RNA", at positions 29 to 507 of the family's 1533-position model. The record is from RNAcentral.
AGUGAACGCUGGCGGUAGGCCUAACACAUGCAAGUCGAACGGCAGCACAGUAAGAGCUUGCUCUUACGGGUGGCGAGUGGCGGACGGGUGAGGAAUACAUCGGAAUCUACUUUUUCGUGGGGGAUAAUGUAGGGAAACUUACGCUAAUACCGCAUACGACCUACGGGUGAAAGCAGGGGAUCUUCGGACCUUGCGCGAUUGAAUGAGCCGAUGUCGGAUUAGCUAGUUGGCGGGGUAAAGGCCCACCAAGGCGACGAUCCGUAGCUGGUCUGAGAGGAUGAUCAGCCACACUGGAACUGAGACACGGUCCAGACUCCUACGGGAGGCGGCAGUGGGGAACAUUGGACAAUGGGCGCAAGCCUGAUCCAGCCAUACCGCGUGGGUGAAGAAGGCCUUCGGGUUGUAAAGCCCUUUUGUUGGGAAAGAAAAGCAGCAGGUUAAUACCCCGCUGUUCUGACGGUACCCAAAGAAUAAGCACCGGCUAACUUCGUG